RNAcentral lists this ribosomal RNA (122 nucleotides) under uncultured bacterium. RNAcentral describes it as "partial 16S ribosomal RNA". The record is from RNAcentral.
CCUUGUACACACCGCCGUCACACCAGUGGGUAGGUCGUUUUUCGCUACCGAGUAAGUGGCUAACUGACCGAACCGGCAAGGGAGGUACGGUCCCCGAAAGGGAGUGAACGGUAACUGGGGUG